CCUACGGGAGGCAGCAGUGGGGAAUAUUGCACAAUGGGCGGAAUCCUGAUCCAGCGACGCCGCGUGAGGGAGGAAGUAUUACGGUAUGUAAAGCUCUAUCAGCAGGGAAGAAAAUGACGGUACCUGAUUAAGAAGCCCCGGCGAACUACGUACCAGCAGCCGCAGUAAGACGUAGGGGGCAAGCGUUAUCCGGAUUUACUGGGUGUAAAGGGAGCGUAGCCGUCAGGACAGGUCUGGAGUGAAAUGCCAGGGCUUAACGCCGGAACUGCUUUGGAAACUGUGAAGCUAGAGUGCAGGAGAGGUAGGAGGAAUUAGUGGUGUAGCGGUGAAAUGCGUAGAUAUCACGAGGAACACCAGUUGCGAAGGCAGCUUACUGGACUGUAACUGACGCUGAGGCACGAAAGCGUGGGUAGCAAACAGGAUUAGAUACCCGAGUAGUC
This 440-nucleotide ribosomal RNA is filed under the name uncultured bacterium. RNAcentral's name for it is "partial 16S ribosomal RNA". It matches the Rfam family "Bacterial small subunit ribosomal RNA", at positions 338 to 795 of the family's 1533-position model. The record is from RNAcentral.